This 399-nucleotide long non-coding RNA is filed under the name Chinchilla lanigera (long-tailed chinchilla). RNAcentral describes it as "lncRNA (ENSCLAG00000028198.1)". The record is from RNAcentral. Lineage: Eukaryota; Metazoa; Chordata; Mammalia; Rodentia; Chinchillidae.
CACCCACGGAGGUUCACAGAGGAGGAUGAGUUGACAUUUCCUGGGUGGGCGAGAAAGGUGCCUGCCAGGCUUCAAAGGAAUCGGGUCAGGCCUUGACCCACACGCAGAAAAAUCAUCAACGUCAGAUGGAGACAGGCUGAAAUGAUUUUCAGAGGGGAGAAGAUGAUCCAGCACAGCCAGCUCUGCUGGUAGCCUUUAAAAAUGGGGCAAAGUGACAGGCAGCAUGGGGAGGGGGCACCUGACCAUGGAAGAAAGCGAAGACAUGUUUGAAGAAGGAUCCCCAAAGGUGAUAUUAUCCCAAACACUUCUUAUGAAAGGAAUGUGACCCGCCAUGGCAAGUCAAAUGGCCAUCUUUGCCAUUUGCAGAAUUGUCAUGACUUUUUUAUAAGUCAGCCUAUU